Long non-coding RNA from Mustela erminea (ermine), 664 nucleotides. RefSeq lists it as uncharacterized. NCBI's taxonomy places the organism in Eukaryota, Metazoa, Chordata, Mammalia, Carnivora, Mustelidae. The record is from RefSeq and is a predicted model, not a curated record. The transcript is spliced from 4 exons.
GUCAAGAGCAGAGCAGACAUCUUAGCACCACGGCUUUUGCAGCGGCGCUGAAGAAUGCUGGUAGUGAUGUGUUUUCACAGCUCAUCUUGCAAGACUCCCAUGCAGUUUCCUGGAGAAGAUGGACUCCUGCCCUCCAGAAUUUUUUUUUUUUUUUUUUUUUUAACAUGUGCUCAUGGAUGAGCAAAGGAAAUUCCUUCCUUCAUUCACUGUGACCUCCAGCCGCUUCCCAAGCUUUCACACAUCAGCCCAGUGACUGUCGGAGGAAGUUGCAGGCCUCAAAAGAGUGCACCCAAGGAACAAAGGGUUGAACACUUGCCAUAGAAAUAACAAACGUUUGACUCCCGCUCCAGCACUCUCUGCUCUCCUGUUUAUGGCAGACGUCACUAAUCAACUUGCUGGACCCAAGUUCCUACCCAACCUCAGCUUCCGGUUUCAAGUUUAUUAACAACAAAACUUCACAUAUCAAAGACCAAACCAAAGCUCUCCAGAAAAUCCCAAGAAAAUCCUGAGCAUGAGCAGCUUCUUCCGUCUGUGGUGGGUCGGUGGGUGCUGAACCCAGAGCAGCCGUGAGUGGGGGCAUGAUGGACUGCAGAGCUGCCCGGCUGGAGCGGGGCUCCCAGAGGCUUGGCAGCCUCAUUAUGGCAUCCCCCAUCCCCGCCCUGGA